RNAcentral lists this transfer RNA (77 nucleotides) under Methylocella tundrae. RNAcentral describes it as "tRNA-Met". It matches the Rfam family "tRNA". From Rfam's summary of the family: Transfer RNA (tRNA) molecules are approximately 80 nucleotides in length. Their secondary structure includes four short double-helical elements and three loops (D, anti-codon, and T loops). Lineage: Bacteria; Pseudomonadati; Pseudomonadota; Alphaproteobacteria; Hyphomicrobiales; Beijerinckiaceae. The record is from RNAcentral.
CGCGGGGUGGAGCAGCCCGGUAGCUAUUCAGGCUCAUAACCUGAAGGUCACAGGUUCAAAUCCUGUCCCCGUAACCA